Molecule: ribosomal RNA, 556 nt
Filed under: Chaetomium globosum
Lineage: Eukaryota; Fungi; Ascomycota; Sordariomycetes; Sordariales; Chaetomiaceae
Description: eukaryotic LSU rRNA
Rfam family: 5.8S ribosomal RNA (bases 206-359)
Source: RNAcentral
UCCGUUGGUGAACCAGCGGAGGGAUCAUUACAGAGUUGCAAAACUCCCUAAACCAUUGUGAACGUUACCUAUACCGUUGCUUCGGCGGGCGGCCCCGGGGUUUACCCCCCGGGCGCCCCUGGGCCCCACCGCGGGCGCCCGCCGGAGGUCACCAAACUCUUGAUAAUUUAUGGCCUCUCUGAGUCUUCUGUACUGAAUAAGUCAAAACUUUCAACAACGGAUCUCUUGGUUCUGGCAUCGAUGAAGAACGCAGCGAAAUGCGAUAAGUAAUGUGAAUUGCAGAAUUCAGUGAAUCAUCGAAUCUUUGAACGCACAUUGCGCCCGCCAGCAUUCUGGCGGGCAUGCCUGUUCGAGCGUCAUUUCAACCAUCAAGCCCCCGGGCUUGUGUUGGGGACCUGCGGCUGCCGCAGGCCCUGAAAAGCAGUGGCGGGCUCGCUGUCGCACCGAGCGUAGUAGCAUACAUCUCGCUCUGGUCGCGCCGCGGGUUCCGGCCGUUAAACCACCUUUUAACCCAAGGUUGACCUCGGAUCAGGUAGGAAGACCCGCUGAACUUAAG